UACAGAGGUCCCGAGCGUUGUUCGGAUUCAUUGGGCGUAAAGGGUGCGUAGGCGGUCUUCUAAGUUUGAUGUGAAAUUCCGGGGCUCAACCCUGGCAUGGCAUUGAAUACUGGAGGACUAGAGUACCGGAGAGGAAACUGGAAUUUACGGUGUAGCAGUGAAAUGCGUAGAGAUCGUAAGGAAGACCAGUGGCGAAGGCGAGUUUCUGGACGGUAACUGACGCUGAUGCGCGAAAGCCAGGGGAGCGAACGGG
This 253-nucleotide ribosomal RNA is filed under the name uncultured bacterium. RNAcentral's name for it is "partial 16S ribosomal RNA". It matches the Rfam family "Bacterial small subunit ribosomal RNA", at positions 524 to 776 of the family's 1533-position model. The record is from RNAcentral.